Molecule: long non-coding RNA, 470 nt
Organism: Oncorhynchus tshawytscha (Chinook salmon)
Lineage: Eukaryota; Metazoa; Chordata; Actinopteri; Salmoniformes; Salmonidae
Source: Ensembl
GUGGGAGAAAGUGAGAGAUGGAGGGAGAGAGAGGGAGUGGGAGAUAUGGGGAGAGGAGGGAGGAGAGAGAGGGAGUGGGAGAGAGGGAGAGAUGGGGAGAGAGGGAGGGGGAGAGGGAGUGGGAGAGAGGGAGUGGGAGAGAGAGAGAGAUGGGGAGAGAGAGGGAGUAGGAGAAAAUGAGAGAUGGGGAGAGAGAGGGAGUGGGAGAAAGUGAGAGAUGGGGAGAGAGAGGGAGUGGGAGAAAAGGAGAGAUGGGGAGAGAGAGGGAGUGGGAGAAAAUGAGAGAUGGGGAGAGAGAGGGAGUGGGAGAAAGUGAGAGAUGGGGAGAGAGAGGGAGGGGAGAAAGGAAGAAGAUGACAAAGGAAAGAGAUGGAUGUUUUCCACUUUCAGACUUAACACCCUUCUGAUUGUUGCUUUCCUAAUCUCAUGGAGUGAAGAAGUGUGUGUGUGUGUGUGUGUGUGUGUGUGUG